CCUAAGGUAGCGAAAUUCCUUGUCGGGUAAGUUCCGACCUGCACGAAUGGCGUAAUGAUGGCCAGGCUGUCUCCACCCGAGACUCAGUGAAAUUGAACUCGCUGUGAAGAUGCAGUGUACCCGCGGCAAGACGGAAAGACCCCGUGAACCUUUACUAUAGCUUGACACUGAACAUUGAGCCUUGAUGUGUAGGAUAGGUGGGAGGCUUUGAAGUGUGGACGCCAGUCUGCAUGGAGCCGGCCUUGAAAUACCACCCUUUAAUGUUUGAUGUUCUAACGUUGGCCCGUAAUCCGGGUUGCGGACAGUGUCUGGUGGGUAGUUUGACUGGGGCGGUCUCCUCCUAAAGAGUAACGGAGGAGCACGAAGGUUGGCUAAUCCUGGUCGGACAUCAGGAGGUUAGUGCAAUGGCAUAAGCCAGCUUGACUGCGAGCGUGACGGCGCGAGCAGGUGCGAAAGCAGGUCAUAGUGAUCCGGUGGUUCUGAAUGGAAGGGCCAUCGCUCAACGGAUAAAAGGUACUCCGGGGAUAACAGGCUGAUACCGCCCAAGAGUUCAUAUCGACGGCGGUGUUUGGCACCUCGAUGUCGGCUCAUCACAUCCUGGGGCUGAAGUAGGUCCCAAGGGUAUGGCUGUUCGCCAUUUAAAGUGGUACGCGAGCUGGGUUUAGAACGUCGUGAGACAGUUCGGUCCCUAUCUGCCGUGGGCGCUGGAGAACUGAGGGGGGCUGCUCCUAGUACGAGAGGACCGGAGUGGACGCAUCACUGGUGUUCGGGUUGUCAUGCCAAUGGCACUGCCCGGUAGCUAAAUGCGGAAGAGAUAAGUGCUGAAAGCAUCUAAGCACGAAACUUGCCCCGAGAUGAGUUCUCCCUGACUCCUUGAGGGUCCUGAAGGAACGUUGAAGACGACGACGUUGAUAGGCCGGGUGUGUAAGCGCAGCGAUGCGUUGAGCUAACCGGUACUAAUGAACCGUGAGGCUUAACCUU
Molecule: ribosomal RNA, 981 nt
Filed under: human gut metagenome
Description: bacterial LSU rRNA
Rfam family: Bacterial large subunit ribosomal RNA
Source: RNAcentral